Molecule: ribosomal RNA, 233 nt
Filed under: uncultured bacterium
Lineage: Bacteria
Description: partial 16S ribosomal RNA
Rfam family: Bacterial small subunit ribosomal RNA
Source: RNAcentral
ACGGGUGAGUAACGCGUGGUCAACCUACCGUUGAGUGGGGGAUAACUAGCCGAAAGGUUAGCUAAUACCGCAUACGUCUCCGAGGGGCAUCCCUUGGCGAUAAAAGGAGCAAUCCGCUCGAUGACGGGACCGCGUCCCAUUAGCUAGAUGGUGGGGUAACGGCCUACCAUGGCACCGAUGGGUAGCUGGUUUGAGAGAGCGACCAGCCACACUGGGACUGAGAAACGGUCCAG